Non-coding RNA from Pelobates cultripes (western spadefoot toad), 214 nucleotides. The record is from the annotation of a GenBank genome assembly. NCBI's taxonomy places the organism in Eukaryota, Metazoa, Chordata, Amphibia, Anura, Pelobatidae.
CAAUAAUUAAGAAGUUCUAGUCAACUGGAAAUGUUAUGAAUGAGCCUGGAAGAGGACAUGUGUCUAUAUUGUCUCACCGCACAGUGAAGAGGUUGGUUACAGUGGUCAAAAAAUCUCCAAGGAGCACAGCUGGAGAAUUACAGAAGUUAUUUUUGUCUUGGGGUCAAAAAGGUCUCCAAAACUAUAGUUGUUUGGAAGGGUUUCAAGAAUAAAG